GGCCGCGCGGCGUCCCGGGACGCCGGACCCGGGGAUGGGGCGGGAAGCCCGGGCGCGGGGCACCCACCUUGGGCGCGCUGCCGAGGCCGGGAGUGGAGAAGGUGGACGCUGGAGUCGGCACGUCGCGAGUCCCGAUUUCCUGCCGCUUUUCCUCCACCCGGGCUGGGGGAGAGGGAGUGGGGGGCCAAGGAAAACUUUCUUUCAAGUCGCUUUCGGCGUCGCCAAACUUUUCGAGGUCGGUUGGCUAUGGCUGCCAGCUGUCGGAAGCCGGGGAGAUCCGCGUUCAGGGGCACGGCCCCCCGGGAGGGGGUGGGCAUCGCUUUCUCCAGGCUGGGAAGGUAGGAGCGGCCCCCCCGCGGCACCGGCGCCACGGACCCCGCUCCUGCCCGGCCGCCCGGCAGCGCCGCAGUUGUCCCGCUGGCAUCCGCGCGCCGGCGGGGGCGACGCGGCCGCACAAAGGCAGCGGGGCGCCAGGUAGGGCGAGCACCUGGCGGUGGGCAGGCGGCGGCGGGCGAGGGUGCCUCGGGGCAGCGAGAGCCGCGCCGGCCUGAGCUCUCCUGCGCGCCGGCCCGGAGGGUCUUUGCAUCGAAAAGGCCGAGUAAACACCACCCUCCCCUUUCUCCAAGUGCGAGGUGGCUGGCACUUUUCGGGUGUACAGCAGACGGUUUCGCAGGGGAGGAAGUCGAGUUUUUUGUUCUUUUUCCUUCGGUACUUGGGAAAUUGAUGGAAGUGGCUGGCUCUUUUUCUGACGCGUUUCUGACUUUUCCUCUACCCCCCAACCUCCCGCCUCGACUACCCCGCCCCCCAUAACCUUAGCCACAUCCCUUGGGCUUUGCCGUGGUGUGUACUUUCUUUCCAAAGCACAAAAGCAAGGGCUCUAUUUUGAAGAGAUUGGCAGUCCAUCAGCGGAGGGGAAGGGGGAAGUUCUACCCCAAGGCUUCAUAGUUUCCACACUUGCUUCUUUUCAACUAAUCCGACUUAGGACUUAGCUGGUCCUCUUCUGGUUGUUGUUUUUUUUUCUAAGUGACUGUGAAAGUGGCGCUAAGUAAAAAUGAUAACCCGUGCAGGACUAAUUUAAAAAUCUCUAUCCUGCAGGAGUUGGGGGAAAUUAGCGAAGGCACAUAGAAACUUACACACAAGUAAAAGGAGCACUUGAUCCAGUGCUGUGUUUAUUCCAAAGAAUGAUUAAAAACAAACUCACAAAAAUCUUUAAAGGGGCACCCUUGACCAAAGCUUUUUUUUUUUUUUUUUCCCACUUAGUCCAAAGUUAUGUCACCCUUGUUUCUACCUAAGAGGAUACUUUAUCUGUAAAUAAAAGUUCCCUUUCAGUUUUAGGGUUUAAGAAGUCAGCCCACCCCACAUUAUUUUUGGAACCUUUAUAGAGAACCAUUUACUUAAACUGUGUGUUAGGGUGGAGAUACCUAAAUUGGGCCACAGCCUAAUUGGCUACUUAAAUUUAAGGAGUAUGAGUCUUAGUACUUUAGAAUUGCUAUAAUUAUUUUCCAUGGUUAAAUAUUUCCAAAAAAAAAGAGAGAGAGAGAGAGAAAUCAAUGUAUUUUAUGUCAAGAGCUUAAAGAAUCUUACUGAAUUUAAAGAGCUGAGUGGUACCUUGAGAAAAUUAACUUUACCUUAGUUGACUCAUUUUUCUGCUGUAGAGGCUAAAAAGUACUGUGUGUGUGUGCUUAGUCACUCAACCAUGUCCCACUCUUUGUGACCCCAUGGACCACAGCUCGCACGCCAGACUCCUAUGUCCGUGGAAUUCUCCAGGCAGGGAUACUGGAGUGGGCAGCCAACCAUUCCCUUCUUGAAGGGAUCUUCCGGACCAAAACCCCCAGGGAUUGAAGCCGGGUCUUCUGCAUUGCAGGUGGAUUCUUUACUGUCCAAGUCACCUACUGUAGGAUGCCUUUUCUAGGGACCUUAGAAACUGGUCGCUCAAUUCAGUCCAUUGCUGUUGCAGUAGGUGGAUGGUGAAGUGGAUGCAGAAGAAACAUGUUCUAAGGAAGAGCUGUUUCCAGAGUGUGUAGGGUGUCGGUUGAAGGAUGGGGUGUGACUUACCUAUUGAUGGGUUCCCUGCCAGCAGCACAGAUGGCAGUACUCUAGGCCGCCAGGAGACUAUCAGUGCAUCAGAUACGGUUGCUGAGGCCACGAUGCCCUGACGGAAAAGUUGAAACAGCUGGCUGUCUUGAAAUAGGAGCUGUGCCAUCAGUCACUCCAUCUACUGGAUCUAGAAUAACUUGGCGAAAAUGAAAUGAAUCAUUUCUUCACUGGCUUGCAAAAUUAAGUCUGUGUGCUAGAUUUGUGAAAUUGCCUUAGAACAGAGCAUAGGCAGCUUCGAUAGAAACUUUAGUUAUUAUGUUUACGAUUUAUGUAAGACCCCCUUCCAGCUAAAUGAGGCAUUGAUUUGUGUUUCACAUCUGUCUGCCCAGCUGCAUCCCUCAGCUGCUUAGAACAGGAAGAGAAGGGACAUUGCCUCCAGUGGGUGUGGCUCAGUAUUAGGGAGAGUAUAAUUGACCAGGAGCUUGGCACCUGUACUGUGGAUUUUCUCCCUCUCUCCCUCUCUCUCAGAUAUCUUAGGAAAUCUGGUAGCACUUUAGGAAGGCUUUCCACUUGUACCCAAGACCCUCCCAAGGCUCACUCAGUUGUGACUCAGGGUGAGUGCCAUUUUCUGACUCAUGAACAAGGUAUACAGCUUACAGUUUAUCUCAUAUCUUCCUCCUGAAACCUCACUUUGGGACACUUUUCUCCAUCUUUGGAGAACCAAGAACAGUACCAGGCAAUAGCAAAUUUGUUUCUUUUUUUCUUAGGUGACUUGAAUGGGGAAAAAGAAGAUAAACACCAAAAAAUCUCGGCAUGUCUCUCUAUUUAUUUUGUACACAUUGGUUAAGAGGGCACAACAGUCUCCUUUGACUUUAAUCAAAAUACCCAUCUAAGAUUUCCUUUGUAGAAUCUGGCUUUAUCAUCAGCCACAAAGGAAGUUCUGCUUUUGGACUGUCUAAUGAACUAGACCCAUGUGUGUGCCUCUGCUGUGUACUUCAGAGCUAGAAGCUAUAAUUCAUAAGGCUUUUGUGACUUAGAUAUACUGACAUAUUUAAGUACAUCUGAAUUGGCCAUCACCUCUGAAUAUGUUCAGGAUACAUUCCCUUCUCUUUGCUUGCAUAUUACUUCUGAAUAAAUUGCAGACAUUAUACAUAAAAAUACAUAGGAAUAGACUUAUGAACCUUGAAAUCUGGUGAAGCUGACUACAAGUUAGGUAAGUUCCUUUGAGUGCAGGCAUGGCAUGUUUGACAUUUAAAAAGUCUGGAAUCCAAUCCAAACAUGUUUUCUGGGAAGGUAACCUAGUCCAUUCCCACUGAUUAGUUUAUCAGAUUUCUUGUAGCCUCCCAGCCAAAGCAAUACAACACUCAAAAAAACAAAAAUAGAAAGGAAUGGAAUGAAGCCCAGAAAAGUUGUUUUUUUUUUUUGGCUGCACCAUGCAUCAUGUAGGAUCUUAGUUCCCUGACCAGGGAUUGAACCAGCAUCCCAUGCAGUGAAGUGUGGAGUCUUAACCACUGGGUCACCAGGAAAGUCCCCAGAAAAGUUUUGAUGGAGGUAGAUUAGGGCAAGAGUGGAUGCAGAGAUUGUCUACAGGCUUCUGUGGAUGGGCCUGCCUAGUAGGAAAUGUUUGGCUGCCCAGUGGGGCUAUGGAUGGAGGGGAUGGAGAAGUGGAGGAAGCAGGCUGUUGCAGAAGCUGAAAGCCACUUCCUCCUUGGUUUUGCUGGGGAUUUCAGCUUUGUCAGUGGAUGCAAACUCAAAUGUCUGCAGAGGCCAGGAUAUGGUUUUUGAUGGGGUGAAACUGGCCUCUGGAGAGUAAAUAUAGAACGUAUGCCCAUUGGAAGAGGCAUCAUUACUUGAUCCUAGGCUGUGGUUACAUUGACCACAUCACCAAAUUGUCUGCUUUUUCAAGAUAAGCUGAAAAUCCAGAUUUUUAUGCCAAACCUGCUGGUUUUUAAAAGUGUGCUGAUGGUCGCUGAGAGGCCAAACAGGUCAGCUGUUUGCAGCCACUCUGUCGUAAAUCUCAAAGCAGUGUUCUUACAAACCACCAUGCUUCCUUUCAUUCACUUACCAGUGGGAAUGUCUAAACUUUAGCCACAUUCCCAAUAAAGGCAUUAGAUUUUUACUGACACAUCCGCAACUUCCCACUCCAUUUCCCUUAAGAGAGGGAGUUUCCUGGUGUUUUCAGCCCGUGGACUCUCUAAGCUAUCAGGCAAGGGCAAUCUGCAUUCAGCUGCAACCAUUUGGAGCUAGCUAAAAACACCUGUGUAGAGCUAUGAGUGGUGAGGCUGUAAGUUGUCUUAACACUUCAAAUCCCUUCUCCAAUGGAAAGGCACUACUAUCUCCAUACUAUGUGAUGGACCUCUUUUAUCACUUCUUUCCCUGUUGCAUCUCAUGAAUUCGAGGUCUGUUUCAGGGAUUCUUGAGUGUGUGUGCAUGCUCAGUCCUAUUUGACUCUGCGACCUUAUGUACUAUAGCCUGCCAGGCUCCUCUGUCUAUGGGAUUCUCCAGGUGAGAAUACUGGAAUGGUUUGCCACUUCCUCCUCCAGGGGAUCGUCUUGACCCAGGAAUGGAACCCGCAUCUCCUGCUUUAGCAUGUGGACUGUUUACCACUGAACCACAUGGGAAGCCCAGGUUUCUCUUUGAGGCUAGAUAAUGAACAUUUUCGUAAAUAUAACUGGAAAUACAGCCUUUUGCCCUUGACUUAAUUUCACAAGCUCAUGUGACAUGAAAUUAAAGAGUACCUCGAAUUUCCUGAUGAGGAGAGGACUGAGUCUCAUUACUUGGUAAGAACCUGAGAAAGGUCUUUUCAUCAGCUUCAAAAAGCAGAAAUAUUUUGAAACCUCUGUACAAAUGCAGAGCUUCAUUGUGAACUUCAUUAGGGAUCAUAUAGAAAUUAUGUACAGUUGUAAUUUUCCAAUUUGACUCAUCUACUAUUUUUUUUAACAAGGAUACAGCAACUUGUGUCUUAAUCAGUAUGUGAUUAAAAUGAGUUUCUCCAUGGUCAGGUUUUAAUAUUUUACUUUUUUAAAACAUGCUGGGACUUAAUAUUUACAGAACAAAUAGAGGGUUAAACGUUAAAUGCCAAAGGUAUUAAAAAUAAACAGCUUGGCCUUGUAAGCACAUUCUGUAAUAAUAGUAAGCAAAUUUUGUGUUUUGAAUUUCAACUUACAGAAUUUGUUUUGGCAGAGAUGAAAGGUUUGGGGGCAUCUUAGUGAAGUAUUUUUGUACAUAUCUUUAUGACAACCUUACUUCAGAGAAGUAGAACUAUGAGCGGGUUCUACUUAGACAGAUUGUCCCUAAAAAUAAGGACAUGGACUUGGACACUAUGCAUCUGGGUAAAGUCAGCCUUCCUUUCUGAGUUGCCACCGUGGGAACAUUGUUUAAGGCAUUUCCAAAUGGUCAUUUAAGAAAAAUUUUUUACUUUCUUUAAGACCUAAAAUAUUAGUAUCCAGCCUGAUCACCCAUCUUGGUCCCUCUUAGCUGUUGCCAGAAAUUACAUUCUGCCUCAAAGGGUGAAUAAACUGAUCCUGGAGAUGUGCGGUAUCAUGUAACAUAGGCUCUGGGGCCCUGAAAGGAGGUGGUUCCUCCUCCUCAGUGCUGUAAGAACUGCUCCAAAGGAGGCCACACUGUCUUGGGUGUUUUGAGUUCUGAUGUGUUUGUUAAAAAUUCAUCCAUGUGACUUUAUAAUCAUACUCUGCAUUGUAGAAAGUGAAACACAUUUUACAUUGUAGAAAGCCCAGGAGAGAGUUGGAAGAGUCUAUCCUAAACCCUUUUGCUUGGCUUCACAGAAAGAUCUAGAGGGGUUAGACAGCUUCAAAAAUCUCAGAGCUAGGUUUUGGCUGAUCUGGUGCCAGAAUCCAGGUUUUCAGAUCCCAGCCUAAUAAGACUUUCUCCACCAAACCACUGUGGUGGAUUAGAGUCUAGGCAUGACUAGGUAAUUUUCUUCCUGGGACUCUUCAAAAAAGCCUGCUUGGAGAUGGAAGAUUGCUCUUUAUUUUUGAUUCAUUACUGUAUCAACUUUAAGAGAUUAUAAAAAAAUUAAUUUAGAGGAAUUCUCCAUAAUACCAGUACCCUAAAGGUAAUGAUUUUCAUGUCUUUGGGUUUCUUUCCAAACUAUCCAAAGGCACAUUAUUUUUAUGUAGUUGUAAUUGUGGGGCAAAUACACAACUUGUGUUCUGUAUUUCCCCAUUUAUUAUAUACUAUAAAUUCUUUUCCUUGGUAAGCAUAUUGGUCGUAUUUUGGUGGUGGCUUGAGAAUCCCAGGUAGCCUGAUUACCCAACUUGAGUCCUGACUCCAGAGAUCUGUCUUCCAGAUCCACUGCUGACUGUUCCUCCCUGCCCUCAUUAGAACUGCCCUGGUCAACGCUGGGCGGCUCAGCCUCCUGACCUGCUUUAAACCUAACCUGCUGUAUAGUUCUCUUUGGUUUUAAAGUCUGAAGCCAGGAUGGGCUGGCUUGGUGUAUACUCCAUACUUGGUGCUCUUGACCCGAGGUGGGUACCAUUUGUGUUCCCCUGAGAUUGUGAUGCUGGCACUUAAAUGUGCCACAGCAGUGGGUGCUCAGGCCUCUGACGCCUGCUUGGCAGCUAUGAGUUCCUCUGUCAGAGGACCCAAGUGGUUGAAGACAAGGAGCUUUGAAACCCAAAGUAGAGAAGACCAGUAUUUGCAUAGGAGGUUAGCAUACAUGCUUGAUAGGUAGGAAUCCUUAUCAAAUACAUUGGUAACCCUUGGAAAUCAAAGAUGAGUUAAGCUCUGCCUCUGCUUCUGAGAUACUCAUAGACCAGUGGAUAACAAAGUGUGCUGUUUUUAUUUUCUUUUUAAAAAAAUAUUAUUUGUUUCCUGUGCUGGGUCUUAUUUGGGGCAUGUGGGAUCUAGUUUCCUGACCAAAGAUUGAACCCUGGCCCGCUGCAUUGGGACCUCAGGGUCUUAGCCACUGGACCACCAGAGAAAUCACACAAAAGACUUUCCUAUAGGUGAUUUCAUCUCAUUCUUACACCAAUGAUGGUUUUUGUUGCCAUUUGACAGUAAGAAAACCAAACUGUGGUGAGGGAAAGGGAAUUGUUUAGGACCAUUCCACUUACAUGUAAUGAGCCGGGUCUGCUAACUUUAUGCUCUUUCAAAAGCAACUGAAUAUAUUGUCUCUGAAUUUGAAAUUUCUGGGUCCGGAUAUCUGUAUAACACUUCAUUAUUUUACAUACUCCUGAGGAAAAACAAGGUUGAUUUAAAAUCCGUUUUAAAUGUCUGAGCUGCUUAAUGUCCUUGUUUGUGGAUGUUUGUAUGUCACCAUGUUUGAGGACUAGAUGAUACCACACUGGGAUCAAGCAUAAAAGUAAAAGAGAGUCAUACUGGAAAGUUGUCUGAUCUCAGUUAAAAAGUAGAAAAUAAGGGAAAUAAGCAACUAUAUUCCUAACUGAAAGAAAAAAAAUUUUUUUUUUUAAGAAAAUAAUGGAAACAAGAUAACCACAAGAAAUUUAGCCCUGGAAUCCUUACGUACAUGACAAACAAAAAAAUAGGAUAGCAUAUUAUUAGUUUUAGUAAUUUAAUUGGUGUGACCAAUAUUCGAUGUUGACAGUGAUUUAGCACAAUAUUACUUGGUAAUAGAAUGAUUUGGACAGUAUUGUCUAAAUCUAAAAUUUUCAACAACAAAAAAAUUAGGGUUGUUUUUAGUGUCUCAAUUAGAUAUGGACCUUUGCUACACAAAAUUUUGGAUUUGAAUGAAGAAGCAUCUAUUAAGCUACUUUGAGUAUGAUAAAGAUAGCACCUCCAAGACUUGGGAGUGCUCUGAUGCAGAAAUAUGUCUGCCAAAUUAUGGCAGUUCUCCUUUCUCCCAUCAGAUUGUCAGAGAUUCUUAACAUUUGGGGGUGUUCUGAGGCCCUCUGAAACUAUGUUGGAAACUAUUGAUGUGUUUCCUGACAGUGUUUGUAGUAACAAGAACAACAACAACAAAACCCAACCAAACAAAAAGACAGGAGCAAUCUAAAUGUCCAUUAGUAGAGAAAUGCACACAUGCUGUGACUUAUUGAUAACAGGGAGUCAAUAUGGAUAGAUAUCACAAAGGUAGUAUGUAGCGAAGAAGCAAAUUGUAGAAAGAUACAUGUAAAGUCGUUUAAGAAAAAUUUCAGAACACAAAACAAGGCUAUCUAUAUUGUUUGGGGAUAUAUAUUCACAUAUGUAUAUAUUUAUGUGUAUGUUCUUUUAAAAAUGUAAAUUGGACUAGAGAGAUAUCAAAUUCAAGCUGCUGAAGUAGGGAAGGAGGAAAGAAGAGAACUGAGAUGAGUAGACUAACAUUAGAAAUGUUUUAUUUGCUUUAUUAAAAUAUAAAGCAAAUGUAGAAAAUAGUAUUAAUUCUGGACUGUAUGUGCAUAAAUACUUUUUUAAUUCCUCAGAGUGUCAACAUCUUUUUACAGUUAAGAAGAAGAAAACCUACAUAAAACAGAAUUCUUCAUUUAAUUUUAGGAAGUUCAUACACCUCCAAAGUCCAUACAGUAUCAUUCCCAGAGUCUUAGCAAACUUUGUCUUGAGGGAGCUUUGUGAAAAAUAAACAUUUCACAAUUAAGGCCAAACUUGGAGAGCAGUGAAUCAUGCCAAACCAGACUGGAUUGGAUGGCCUGUUGGAAAUAACAGUGGACGAUACUGUUUGGAACAGGUGGGGACAAUGCUGUUCACUGCCUAAUUCUGCCUUUUUGGCCAGCCCUUCGUUGUCCAUGUGGUGAAAGACAUUCUUCACACAUAAAAAUACUUUUUUUGUCUUGGAUGAAAGUCGUGUCUUCUGGAUUAUAUGAUGGUUCCCAGAAUAACCCAUAUUGGUGUCACCUCCUUAUUCUAUGUGCCACAGACUGUGCUAUAUGGGUGCCUCAACAAGCUGUGAAUCGAGUAGGAUUAACUUAACUUUGUGCACAGAUUUCAACGACAAAAAAAUCCAUUAACCUGUGACACUUUCACUUUGAUUUUUCUCUUCUCUUUUUAAAUGGAAAAUUUUUAACUACACUAAUGGGGAGAAAAUUAACUGCCUAACUUAUUUUCUCUACUUUGUCAAUGCGAUGUAUCACAUUGCUUUGCAGAUGUUGAACCAUCCUUGCAUCCCUAGAAUAAAUCCCACUUGAUCAUGGUGUAUGAACUUUUCAUGUAUUAUUAUUAUUUCUUUUUUUUAUUCUUCAUCAUUUUUUUUUUU
Long non-coding RNA from Cervus elaphus (red deer), 9202 nucleotides. RefSeq lists it as uncharacterized. Lineage: Eukaryota; Metazoa; Chordata; Mammalia; Artiodactyla; Cervidae. The record is from RefSeq and is a predicted model, not a curated record. The transcript has 2 exons.